Molecule: small nucleolar RNA, 68 nt
Organism: Suncus etruscus (white-toothed pygmy shrew)
Lineage: Eukaryota; Metazoa; Chordata; Mammalia; Eulipotyphla; Soricidae
Product: small nucleolar RNA SNORD110
Exons: 1
Source: RefSeq, a predicted model, not a curated record
UUGCAAUGAUGACUUGGUUCUGUCAAUCCCCUGAGUGUACUCCUUGAUGUCAAAAUGUCUCUGAGCAA